This 20-nucleotide small nuclear RNA is filed under the name Arabidopsis thaliana (thale cress). Its description in RNAcentral is "snRNA_19042". Lineage: Eukaryota; Viridiplantae; Streptophyta; Magnoliopsida; Brassicales; Brassicaceae. The record is from RNAcentral.
AGGUUCCAUGUGAACGGCAC